Non-coding RNA from Lupinus albus (white lupine), 1042 nucleotides. The record is from the annotation of a GenBank genome assembly. Lineage: Eukaryota; Viridiplantae; Streptophyta; Magnoliopsida; Fabales; Fabaceae.
UUCUACAAAUCUGAAAAAAAGAGAGAAAGAGAUUAGGUUUUAAUUGGAUUUAGGGGUUCUAAAGAAAGGGAGAAGAUGAAUUCCUUAGUUGCACCUCCUCCAUGAACCGCUGUUGGGCUUGGAAACGACAUUGUGAAGACGUCGGAGCCGCCGCAUGAGCCUGCUCAUGACAGACCCCGGAACCCGUUACGGAGAUGAGCGGCGGCUGUACCCCUGAGUUGAAAACCCAUGGAUUCACAUCUGUGUGUUUAAAGAAAACGCAAGAACAAGAAAGAAAAGAAAAAUGAUACAAUUUCAAAGUGGAUGAGAAUGAAGAAUGUGGCAAUCCUUCAUCCAUGGAUGUUCAUAACAAGAGUAUUUAGUGCUAGUACUAUGUCCCAAAAAGGGAUCUCCAUGUAUCAUGUAUUAUGGUUUACAUAAAAAUAAGAUGAUGCUUAUGAGUAUAGUUCUUGAUUAUAUGAAUAAAUAGUGAAGGAAAAGGAGUUAUUUUAUUUUGCUUUGAGAGAUUUUAAGUAUAAAAAAAAGUCAUAUUGAUAUUGUUUGGUUUCAUAUAAUUAUACAUAUAUAUGCUUCAUAUAAAGAAGGUAAGACACACAAAAUACUUUCAUUCAUACUUUUGUUAUCAACAUAGUAGCCAUAAAUCAAUGAUGAUAUCAAGCUAUUUGAGUAUAAUAGACUUAUAAACACUGACCUUUUAAGCUUCUUACUAUUGUUCCUCUCAGCACUCCUUUAUGAUGCUUUCUCCAAUGCCUUUUUCCUUGUGGAAAAUGCUUUACCUUUUGGCUGGCCGGGUAUCCAAAACCGAAAAGAAAGAAACUGUGCUUCUUUCUUUUUAUUCAAUGUAUCCUUUUGUUCUUGUGUGUUAAUGUAUUGAAAACAAAGGAAUAGAGUUUUUUUGGAUUCUUUCCUUUUGUGUAUUUCUGUUGCCUUUUUAUGGGAAUAGACUUGCUAUCCUCUAUCCCAUAGAAGUAGGGAUAACCACCCCAAUAGCCUAAAAUCUGGCCUCAUCAACUCAGCUUUUUUCUCCUAAAAAAGUGGGAUC